CCUACGGGAGGCAGCAGUGGGGAAUAUUGGGCAAUGGAGGCAACUCUGACCCAGCAACGCCGCGUGAAUGAUGAAGGUCUUCGGAUUGUAAAGUUCUUUUCUAAGGGAAGAAGAAAGUGACUGUACCUUAGGAAUAAGCCUCGGCUAACUACGUGCCAGCAGCCGCGGUAAUACGUAGGAGGCAAGCGUUAUCCGGAAUGACUGGGCGUAAAGGGUGCGUAGGUGGUUUGACAAGUUAGUAGCGCAACUCCGGAGCUCAACUUCGGAACUACUACUAAAACUGUUGGACUUGAGUGCAGGAGGGGCAAUCGGAAUUCCUAGUGUAGCGGUGGAAUGCGUAGAUAUUAGGAGGAACACCAGUGGCGAAGGCGGAUUGCUGGACUGUAACUGACACUGAGGCACGAAAGCGUGGGGAGCAAACAGGAUUAGAUACCCUAGUAGUC
RNAcentral lists this ribosomal RNA (443 nucleotides) under uncultured bacterium. RNAcentral's name for it is "partial 16S ribosomal RNA". It matches the Rfam family "Bacterial small subunit ribosomal RNA", at positions 338 to 795 of the family's 1533-position model. The record is from RNAcentral.